UUAAGCGACCAAGCGUACACGGUGGAUGCCCUGGCAGUCAGAGGCGAUGAAGGACGUGCUAAUCUGCGAUAAGCGCCGGUAAGGUGAUAUGAACCGUUAUAACCGGCGAUUUCCGAAUGGGGAAACCCAGUGUGAUUCGUCACACUAUCAUUACGUGAAUACAUAGCGUAAUGAAGCGAACCGGGGGAACUGAAACAUCUAAGUACCCCGAGGAAAAGAAAUCAACCGAGAUUCCCCCAGUAGCGGCGAGCGAACGGGGAGGAGCCCAGAGUCUGAAUCAGCAUAUGUGUUAGUGGAAGCGUCUGGAAAGGCGCGCGAUACAGGGUGACAGCCCCGUACACAAAAGCGCAUAUGCUGUGAGCUCGAUGAGUAGGGCGGGACACGUGGUAUCCUGUCUGAAUAUGGGGGGACCAUCCUCCAAGGCUAAAUACUCCUGACUGACCGAUAGUGAACCAGUACCGUGAGGGAAAGGCGAAAAGAACCCCGGCGAGGGGAGUGAAACAGAACCUGAAACCGUGUACGUACAAGCAGUGGGAGCCCCACCACUAAGCCAGUGGUGAACUCCACAUACGCAUCCUUUGCUGAGGAUACGGUUAACGGCGCGAAAGCGACGUUCAACCGCAAAAGCAGCAGAGGGGGCUUAGUGGUGGGGUGACUGCGUACCUUUUGUAUAAUGGGUCAGCGACUUAUAUUCUGUAGCAAGGUUAACCGUAUAGGGGAGCCGAAGGGAAACCGAGUCUUAACCGGGCGUUAAGUUGCAGGGUAUAGACCCGAAACCCGGUGAUCUAGCCAUGGGCAGGUUGAAGGUUGGGUAACACUAACUGGAGGACCGAACCGACUAAUGUUGAAAAAUUAGCGGAUGACCUGUGGCUGGGGGUGAAAGGCCAAUCAAACCGGGAGAUAGCUGGUUCUCCCCGAAAGCUAUUUAGGUAGCGCCUCGUGAAUUCAUCUCCGGGGGUAGAGCACUGUUUCGGCCAGGGGGCCAUCCCGGCUUACCAAUCCGAUGCAAACUGCGAAUACCGGAGAAUGUUAUCACGGGAGACACACGGCGGGUGCUAACGUCCGUCGUGAAGAGGGAAACAACCCAGACCGCCAGCUAAGGUCCCAAAGUCAUGGUUAAGUGGGAAACGAUGUGGGAAGGCCCAGACAGCCAGGAUGUUGGCUUAGAAGCAGCCAUCAUUUAAAGAAAGCGUAAUAGCUCACUGGUCGAGUCGGCCUGCGCGGAAGAUGUAACGGGGCUAAACCAUGCACCGAAGCUGCGGCAGCGAACGUAUCACUUAAAACGAUUCAGAAGCUUACGACUGACGGAGCGAAGCGACGUCAAAGCGUAUACAAAGUCGAGUCGGUUUAAGGAUACGUUCGUUGGGUAGGGGAGCGUUCUGUAAGCCGUAGAAGGUGUCCUGUGAGGGGUGCUGGAGGUAUCAGAAGUGCGAAUGCUGACAUAAGUAACGAUAAAGCGGGUGAAAAGCCCGCUCGCCGGAAGACCAAGGGUUCCUGUCCAACGUUAAUCGGGGCAGGGUGAGUCGACCCCUAAGGCGAGGCCGAAAGGCGUAGUCGAUGGGAAACGGGUUAAUAUUCCCGUACUUGGUGUUACUGCGAAGGGGGGACGGAGAAGGCUAUGUUGGCCGGGCGACGGUUGUCCCGGUUUAAGCGUGCAGGUGUGUGUUCCAGGUAAAUCCGGUUCACUUUAACACUGAGGCGUGACGACGAGGCACUACGGUGCUGAAGCAACAAAUGCCCUGCUUCCAGGAAAAGCCUCUAAGCAUCAGGUAACAUCAAAUCGUACCCCAAACCGACACAGGUGGUCAGGUAGAGAAUACCAAGGCGCUUGAGAGAACUCGGGUGAAGGAACUAGGCAAAAUGGUGCCGUAACUUCGGGAGAAGGCACGCUGACAUGUAGGUGAAGCGGUUUACCCGUGGAGCUGAAGUCAGUCGAAGAUACCAGCUGGCUGCAACUGUUUAUUAAAAACACAGCACUGUGCAAACACGAAAGUGGACGUAUACGGUGUGACGCCUGCCCGGUGCCGGAAGGUUAAUUGAUGGGGUCAGCGCAAGCGAAGCUCCUGAUCGAAGCCCCGGUAAACGGCGGCCGUAACUAUAACGGUCCUAAGGUAGCGAAAUUCCUUGUCGGGUAAGUUCCGACCUGCACGAAUGGCGUAAUGAUGGCCAGGCUGUCUCCACCCGAGACUCAGUGAAAUUGAACUCGCUGUGAAGAUGCAGUGUACCCGCGGCAAGACGGAAAGACCCCGUGAACCUUUACUAUAGCUUGACACUGAACAUUGAGCCUUGAUGUGUAGGAUAGGUGGGAGGCUUUGAAGCGUGGACGCCAGUCUGCGUGGAGCCGACCUUGAAAUACCACCCUUUAAUGUUUGAUGUUCUAACGUGGACCCGUUACCCGGGUUGCGGACAGUGUCUGGUGGGUAGUUUGACUGGGGCGGUCUCCUCCUAAAGAGUAACGGAGGAGCACGAAGGUUGGCUAAUCCUGGUCGGACAUCAGGAGGUUAGUGCAAUGGCAUAAGCCAGCUUGACUGCGAGCGUGACGGCGCGAGCAGGUGCGAAAGCAGGUCAUAGUGAUCCGGUGGUUCUGAAUGGAAGGGCCAUCGCUCAACGGAUAAAAGGUACUCCGGGGAUAACAGGCUGAUACCGCCCAAGAGUUCAUAUCGACGGCGGUGUUUGGCACCUCGAUGUCGGCUCAUCACAUCCUGGGGCUGAAGUAGGUCCCAAGGGUAUGGCUGUUCGCCAUUUAAAGUGGUACGCGAGCUGGGUUUAGAACGUCGUGAGACAGUUCGGUCCCUAUCUGCCGUGGGCGCUGGAAGACUGAGGGGGGCUGCUCCUAGUACGAGAGGACCGGAGUGGACGCAUCACUGGUGUUCGGGUUGUCAUGCCAAUGGCACUGCCCGGUAGCUAAAUGCGGAAGAGAUAAGUGCUGAAAGCAUCUAAGCACGAAACUUGCCCCGAGAUGAGUCUUCCCUGAGACUAUAAGUCUCCUGAAGGAACGUUAAAGACGAUGACGUUGAUAGGCCGGGUGUGUAAGCGCAGCGAUGCGUUGAGCUAACCGGUACUAAUGAACCGUGAGGCUUAACCUU
Molecule: ribosomal RNA, 3086 nt
Filed under: Salmonella enterica
Lineage: Bacteria; Pseudomonadati; Pseudomonadota; Gammaproteobacteria; Enterobacterales; Enterobacteriaceae
Description: bacterial LSU rRNA
Rfam family: Bacterial large subunit ribosomal RNA
Source: RNAcentral